UACAGAGGUCUCAAGCGUUGUUCGGAUUCAUUGGGCGUAAAGGGCGCGUAGGUGGCGGGGUAAGUCAGGUGUGAAAUCUCGGGGCUCAACCCCGAAACUGCACUUGAUACUGCCUUGCUCGAGUACUGGAGAGGAGAUUGGAAUUUACGGUGUAGCAGUGAAAUGCGUAGAUAUCGUAAGGAAGACCAGUGGCGAAGGCGAAUCUCUGGACAGUUACUGACACUGAGGCACGAAAGCUAGGGGAGCAAACAGG
This 253-nucleotide ribosomal RNA is filed under the name uncultured bacterium. RNAcentral describes it as "partial 16S ribosomal RNA". It matches the Rfam family "Bacterial small subunit ribosomal RNA", at positions 524 to 776 of the family's 1533-position model. The record is from RNAcentral.